CAGCCGCCGCGGGAACACGUAGGGGGCAAGCGUUAUCCGGAAUUACUGGGUGUAAAGGGAGCGUAGACGGUUAAACAAGUCUGAAGUGAAAUGCCGGGGCUCAACCCCGGAGCUGCUUUGGGAACUGUAGAACUGGAGUGUCGGAGGGGUAAGCGGAAUUCCCAGUGUAGCGGUGAACUGCGUAGAUAUUGGGAGGAACACCGGCGGCGAAGGCGGCUUACUGGACGACAACUGACGUUGAGGCUCGAAGGCGUGGGUAGCAAACAGGAUUAGAUACCCCUGUAGUCCCUGUCUCUUAUAC
RNAcentral lists this ribosomal RNA (301 nucleotides) under uncultured bacterium. RNAcentral describes it as "partial 16S ribosomal RNA". It matches the Rfam family "Bacterial small subunit ribosomal RNA", at positions 509 to 807 of the family's 1533-position model. The record is from RNAcentral.